Molecule: ribosomal RNA, 453 nt
Filed under: Triticum aestivum (bread wheat)
Lineage: Eukaryota; Viridiplantae; Streptophyta; Magnoliopsida; Poales; Poaceae
Description: partial small subunit ribosomal RNA
Source: RNAcentral
AUGAAUGAAAAGUUGUGUUCUGUUAUCACAAAUGAAGAGAUUGAAAGAGCUCUUUUCAUGAUGCAUCCAAACAAGUCCCCAGGUCCAGAUGGUUUUACAGCAGGUUUUUACAUUCGCCAUUGGCAUCUCUUGAAACAUGUUGUUUGCAAUGCUAUGCGUACUUUUCUUGAAGGCGGUGAUAUGCCGGAGGUGGUUAAUUCUACUGUUUUGAUCCUUAUUUCAAAAAUAAAAAAUCUGCAAGACCUUACACAGUACAGGCCAAUCUCAUUGUGUAAUGUGCUAUAUAAACUAGCUUCAAAAGUUCUGGCCUUGAGGCUGAGACCAGUACUGCAUCAUAUCAUCGCGGAAGAACAAACAGCGUUUGUCCCAGGACGAUUGAUUUCUGAUAAUGUUCUUAUAGCUUACGAGUGUAUUCACUAUCUCAAGAGGAAAAGGGCAAAUCUGGUGAUGUGA